UUUCGCAAUGCCCGAAAGGGUGACGAAGCGACGCCGCGUGCGGGAAGAAGGCCUUCGGGUUGUAAACCGCUGUCGGGAGUUAAGAAAUGUAAGGAUGUUAAUAGCGUCUUUACUUGACUAAGGCUCCGGAGGAAGCCACGGCUAACUCUGUGCCAGCAGCCGCGGUAAUACAGAGGCGGCAAGCGUUGUUCGGAAUUAUUGGGCGUAAAGAGCACGUAGGCGGCUAUGUAAGUCGGUUGUGAAAGCCUUCCGCUCAACGGGAGAACGGCAUCCGAUACUGCAUGGCUUGAGUGCGGGAGGGGAGAGUGGAACUUCUGGUGGAGCGGUGAAAUGCGUAGAUAUCAGAAGGAACACCGGCGGCGAAAGCGACUCUCUGGCCCGUAACUGACGCUGAGUGUGCGAAAGCUAGGGGAGCAAACGGGAUUAGAUACCCCGGUAGUCCUAGCCGUAAACGAUGGGCACUAAGUAGAGGGGUUUUA
RNAcentral lists this ribosomal RNA (479 nucleotides) under uncultured bacterium. RNAcentral's name for it is "bacterial SSU rRNA". It matches the Rfam family "Bacterial small subunit ribosomal RNA", at positions 364 to 833 of the family's 1533-position model. The record is from RNAcentral.